This is a long non-coding RNA of Herpailurus yagouaroundi (jaguarundi), 2165 nucleotides long. RefSeq lists it as uncharacterized. The record is from RefSeq and is a predicted model, not a curated record. The transcript is spliced from 3 exons. NCBI's taxonomy places the organism in Eukaryota, Metazoa, Chordata, Mammalia, Carnivora, Felidae.
CUAGAUCCCACAAACUGCAAGAUCACGACCUGAGCUGAAACCAAGAGUCAGUCGCUCCACCGACUGAUCCAGCCAGGCACCGCCUCUACCUUCUUUAUGUUUUCCUCCUGAUGUGUCUCCUUUCUCUUCCCCCCUGCCCUCCUCACAAGGCUCAGCCCUCAUCCCUGUCUCUCGACUGGCUUCCCCUCCCGCCAGCCACAAAUACUCUCUUCCUUACAACUUUGAGCUCUCUCCCCUCACAUUGGUCUGCCCAUCUGCCACCCCCUCUAGCCGGGGUUUGUCCCUCUUUCGUCCCCACCCACGGAGUGUCAGUCCCCAGUGGCCUGACUUAGACCUCUCAUGUUUCCAUUCUCAUCACACGCAAUCUGGAAACUCACCCUCAGAGCAGAAGGAGGGCUCUGGGGUGCAGCCCCCAGGACAUCUUUGUUUCACACCCCUUUCUCUUCCUCUAACGAAGCAGUGACAGGCUUCUCUGGUCCCUUAUUUGAGAGAAAGACAGAAUGACAAGAAGCUAUUGCAUGGGAUGGGCGUGGAGGGCACAGGGAAUGUUUUGCUCUCUCAGUGGUUACAGAGCCCCAUAUCUACAGAGAAUGAGGGAAGUACCAGUUAUGUUAUCAGGAGAAGGGCUUAUUCAGGACCUCUCAUAGAACUCUGUGUUUUUGGAAUGGCUAUAGUCACUUACAGAUAGAAAAUCUGAGGAUCAGAGAGGUUAAGUGGUUUGCCCACAGUCACACAGCAGUGGAGCCAGCGAUGGAGCCUGGCCUCAUGUCAAAGCCCUUGUUCAUUCUAUUGUACAGAGGGUUGCCAUGGACUGCUUUUUCCUGUCUUAACCAUCUGAGAAGGUCUCUCCCCAUCAUCUAGCACCUCAGCAUUUGUUUCUCUCUCUACUAAUUUGCAUCUCAUUUCCUCUAGAAAAGUUUAUGGUGUACUCCUCUUCGCUUCCCCGCCUGUCCCGGCCCGCACACUUCUCUGCCCACGUCUUGGUGACGUCACCAGCACCGCGGGAAAAUUCCAGAGAACCUCCCCACUCUGUGGAGCUUCGGGAUUCAAGCUGUCUGGAGUCAGGGCCAAAGUUUCCUACCCUUGUGAGAUGCUUGUAGAAACCUGCACUCGUGACCUCAGGGUCUGCUUCAAGGCUGCUGUGAUGAUUGAAACGGCGUGUGUGACUUUAGAGAGUGCUGUGUAAACCUGGCAUGCGACGAGCAUGGUGAGCGGAACAUGAGUCUCUCCUACCACCCCUGGGGUGCAACUCCUUCCCGACUUCAACUGUUGUUUGCAAAGCUGGGAUCUCGUCCUUGCGAGCCUGGAGAGUGGAAACAUCUCAUCAUGGUGGUAAGAGUUCCUCUUUGACCUCCAAAAAUAAUGAAAAAAAAAAUGUAAAUAACAAACUGAAGCAGAUUGAACCAACAAACAUGAAAAGAUGCUCAAUGCCACUCAUCAUCAGGGAAACGCAAAUUAAAAACUCCAGUGAAAUGUCACCUCACACCCAUUAGGAUGGUUACUAUCUCAAACGCCGGUAAGUGUCUGGAGACGCUCUAAUCCUUGUGCCCUGGGGGUGGGAAGGUGAAAAGGUAUAGCCAUUAUGGAAAACAGUAUGGUGGUUCCUCCAGAAAUUCAAAAUGGAAUUGCCACCUGAGCUAGCAAUCCCACUCGUGCGUGUCUAGACCAAAGAAUCGAAAGCAGAAUUUUGAAGAGAUAUUUGCGCACCCACGUUCAUAGCGGCAUCAUUUACAAGAGCUAAAAGGUGGAAGCAACACACAUUUUCAUGGACAAAUAAAUGAAGGCGCACAAUGUAGCAUCAUUCCGUCCUCAAAAGAAAGGAAAGCUGACGCAUGCUACAACAUGAAUGAACCUGGAGGACAUCAUGCUAAGCGAAAUAAGCUAGUCACAGGAAGACAAGCACUGUAAUAUUCCACCUAGGUGAGGUAUCUAGACUCGUCAAAUUCAUAGAAACAGAAAGGACAAUGGUGGUUGGUAGGGUAGGAGAGAAACGGGGGGUUGUUCAGUGGGUAAGAAUUUAAGUUUUGCAAGAAAGAAAACUUCUAGAGAUCGGUUGCAUGCCAACGUGUACGCGUUUAAUGCCCCUGUACCACAUAUACUUAGAAAUGGUUGAGUUGGCAAAAUUUGUGUUAUGCAUUUUUUUUACCACAAUAAAAUUUUUCUAU